GUGGGGAAUCUUGCGCAAUGGGCGAAAGCCUGACGCAGCCAUGCCGCGUGAAUGAUGAAGGUCUUAGGAUUGUAAAAUUCUUUCACCGGGGACGAUAAUGACGGUACCCGGAGAAGAAGCCCCGGCUAACUUCGUGCCAGCAGCCGCGGUAAUACGAAGGGGGCUAGCGUUGCUCGGAAUUACUGGGCGUAAAGGGCGCGUAGGCGGACAGUUUAGUCAGAGGUGAAAGCCCAGGGCUCAACCUUGGAAUUGCCUUUGAUACUGGCUGUCUUGAGUACGGGAGAGGUGAGUGGAACUCCGGGUGUAGAGGUGAAAUUCGUAGAUAUUCGGAAGAGCACCAGUGGCGAAGGCGACUCACUGGCCCGUUACUGACGCUGAGGCGCGAAAGCGUGGGGAGCAAACAGGAUUAGAUACCCGGGUAGUCC
RNAcentral lists this ribosomal RNA (425 nucleotides) under uncultured bacterium. Its description in RNAcentral is "partial 16S ribosomal RNA". It matches the Rfam family "Bacterial small subunit ribosomal RNA", at positions 354 to 796 of the family's 1533-position model. The record is from RNAcentral.